UGACGUAUGUGUGAAUCAUCGAAUCUUUGAACGCAAUUUGCACCUCGUCGCCUCGGUGACAAGGUAUACUUGUUUGAGUAUCACAAACAACCUCACCCUCCCUUUGGGGCAGAGUGGACAUGAGGGUUCUGCCUUUUGGGCAGUCUCUUUAAAUACAGGUUUUGAAAGUCUCUGCAUGAGAUGAUUAUUGGGAUAACAUCCUAACAAUAGUCAUUGCUUUGACUUGGCCCCUUUUACUGGGAACAGAAUCACAUGAUCCGCGUGGUGCAAGCCUCGUCGACCAAUUUUUAAAUGUUGAUCUCAAAUCAAGUAGGGAUACCCGCUGAACUUAAGCAUAUCAAUAAGCGGAGG
RNAcentral lists this ribosomal RNA (351 nucleotides) under uncultured Basidiomycota. Its description in RNAcentral is "eukaryotic LSU rRNA". The stretch from base 296 to 351 matches the Rfam family "Eukaryotic large subunit ribosomal RNA", at positions 1 to 56 of the family's 3401-position model. Lineage: Eukaryota; Fungi; Basidiomycota. The record is from RNAcentral.